CCCCCGAGCGCGACGCACUUCGCUGCUCUGUAGUGCGUGAUCACUCGGCUAACCUCACCGUGCACCGCUGCUCUCUCUCUCGUCUUCACUUCUACUCUACACCCUCUCUUUUCGUUUCGUUGGGGUCAACCGCGAGUUUACCACGAUAACGAAAGCGAGUACUACGUGCUAAUAAGUCAGGCGGCCUCAUCGACUGCACACCAACC
This is a long non-coding RNA of Hyposmocoma kahamanoa, 206 nucleotides long. RefSeq lists it as uncharacterized. The transcript is spliced from 3 exons. The record is from RefSeq and is a predicted model, not a curated record. Lineage: Eukaryota; Metazoa; Arthropoda; Insecta; Lepidoptera; Cosmopterigidae.